ACAAGCGGUGGAGUAUGUGGUUUAAUUCGAUGCAACGCGAAGAACCUUACCUGGUCUUGACAUCCCGGAGACCCGUUAGGAAACUAGGGGGUGCUUCCAUCUGGAAGAAUCUGGAGACAGGUGCUGCAUGGCUGUCGUCAGCUCGUGUCGUGAGAUGUUGGGUUAAGUCCCGCAACGAGCGCAACCCUUGCCUUUAGUUGCCAGCAGUUCGGCUGGGCACUCUAAAGGGACUGCCGGUGUUAAACCGGAGGAAGGUGGGGAUGACGUCAAGUCCUCAUGGCCUUUAUGACCAGGGCUACACACGUACUACAAUGGCCGAUACAAAGGGCAGCGACACUGCGAGGUGAAGCCAAUCCCGUAAAAUCGGUCUCAGUCCGGAUUGGAGUCUGCAACUCGACUCCAUGAAGUUGGAAUCGCUAGUAAUCGUGGAUCAGCAUGCCACGGUGAAUACGUUCCCGGGCCUU
Molecule: ribosomal RNA, 464 nt
Filed under: uncultured Desulfobulbus sp.
Lineage: Bacteria; Pseudomonadati; Thermodesulfobacteriota; Desulfobulbia; Desulfobulbales; Desulfobulbaceae
Description: bacterial SSU rRNA
Rfam family: Bacterial small subunit ribosomal RNA
Source: RNAcentral